AGUGAACGCUGGCGGUAGGCCUAACACAUGCAAGUCGAACGGCAGCACAGUAAUAGCUUGCUCUUACGGGUGGCGAGUGGCGGACGUGUCAGGAAUACAUCGGAAUCUACUUUUUCGUGGGGGAUAACGUAGGGAAACUUACGCUAAUAUCGCAUACGACCUACGGGUGAAAGCAGGGGAUCUUCGGACCUUGCGCGGUUGAAUGAGCCGAUGUCGGAUUAGCUAGUUGGCGGGGUAAAGGCCCACCAAGGCGACGAUCCGUGGCUGGUCUGAGAGGAGGAUCAGCCACACGGGAACUGAGACACGGUCCAGACUCCUACGGGAGGCAGCAGUGGGGAAUAGUGGACAAUGGGCGGAAACCUGGUACAACCAUACCGCGUGGGUGAAGGAAGCCUUACGGGUGUAAAGCCCUUUUGUUGGGAAAGAAAAGCAGCAGGUUAAUACCCCGCUGUUCUGACGGUACCCAAAGAAUAAGCACCGGCUAACUUCGUG
Molecule: ribosomal RNA, 492 nt
Filed under: uncultured bacterium
Lineage: Bacteria
Description: partial 16S ribosomal RNA
Rfam family: Bacterial small subunit ribosomal RNA
Source: RNAcentral